GAAUAUUGGACAAUGGGGGGAACCCUGAUCCAGCCAUGCCGCGUGUGUGAAGAAGGCCUUUUGGUUGUAAAGCACUUUAAGCGAGGAGGAGGCUACUCUAGUUAAUACCUAGGGAUAGUGGGCGUUACUCGCAGAAUCAGCACCUGCUAACUCUGUGCAAGCAGCCGCGGUAAUGCAGAGGGUGCAAUCGUUAAUCGGAUUGACUGGGCGUAAAGCGCGCGUAGGUGGCCAAUUAAGUCAAAUGUGAAAUCCCCGAGCUUAACUUGGGAAUUGCAUUCGAUACUGGUUGGCUAGAGUAUGGGAGAGGAUGGUAGAAUUCCAGUUGUAGCGGUGAAAUGCGUAGAGAUCUGGAGGAAUACCGAUGGCGAAGGCAGCCAUCUGGCCUAAUACUGACACUGAGGUGCGAAAGCAUGGGGAGCAAACA
This 424-nucleotide ribosomal RNA is filed under the name uncultured bacterium. RNAcentral describes it as "bacterial SSU rRNA". It matches the Rfam family "Bacterial small subunit ribosomal RNA", at positions 359 to 774 of the family's 1533-position model. The record is from RNAcentral.